This 446-nucleotide ribosomal RNA is filed under the name uncultured bacterium. Its description in RNAcentral is "bacterial SSU rRNA". It matches the Rfam family "Bacterial small subunit ribosomal RNA", at positions 342 to 807 of the family's 1533-position model. The record is from RNAcentral.
CGGGAGGCAGCAGUUAGGAAUCUUCCACAAUGGGCGAAAGCCUGAUGGAGCGACGCCGCGUGAGGGAUGAAGGCCCUCGGGUUGUAAACCUCUAAAAGGGGGACGAUAAUGACGGUACCCCUUGAAAAGCACCGGCUAACUCCGUGCCAGCAGCCGCGGUAAUACGGAGGGUGCAAGCGUUAUCCGGAAUCACUGGGCGUAAAGGGCGUGUAGGCGGCCUGUUAAGUCCGAUGUUAAAGACCGGGGCUCAACCCCGGCACGGCGUUGGAUACUGGCAGGCUAGACGGCAGGAGAGGAAAGUGGAAUUACCAGUGUAGCGGUGGAAUGCGUAGAUACUGGUAGGAACACCCAUUGCGAAGGCAGCUUUCUGGACAGCCCGUGACGCUGAGGCGCGAAAGUGUGGGGAGCAAACCGGAUUAGAUACCCGGGUAGUCCACGCCCUAAAC